RNAcentral lists this ribosomal RNA (955 nucleotides) under Mycochaetophora sp. MAFF 239284. RNAcentral's name for it is "SSU rRNA". It matches the Rfam family "Eukaryotic small subunit ribosomal RNA", at positions 122 to 1085 of the family's 1831-position model. Lineage: Eukaryota; Fungi; Ascomycota; Leotiomycetes; Helotiales. The record is from RNAcentral.
UGAUAGUACCUUACUACUUGGAUAACCGUGGUAAUUCUAGAGCUAAUACAUGCUAAAAACCUCGACUUCGGAAGGGGUGUAUUUAUUAGAUAAAAAACCAAUGCCCUUCGGGGCUCCUUGGUGAUUCAUAAUAACUUAACGAAUCGCAUGGCCUUGUGCCGGCGAUGGUUCAUUCAAAUUUCUGCCCUAUCAACUUUCGAUGGUAGGAUAGUGGCCUACCAUGGUUUCAACGGGUAACGGGGAAUUAGGGUUCUAUUCCGGAGAGGGAGCCUGAGAAACGGCUGCCACAUCCAAGGAAGGCAGCAGGCGCGCAAAUUACCCAAUCCCGACACGGGGAGGUAGUGACAAUAAAUACUGAUACAGGGCUCUUUUGGGUCUUGUAAUUGGAAUGAGUACAAUUUAAAUCCCUUAACGAGGAACAAUUGGAGGGCAAGUCUGGUGCCAGCAGCCGCGGUAAUUCCAGCUCCAAUAGCGUAUAUUAAAGUUGUUGCAGUUAAAAAGCUCGUAGUUGAACCUUGAGCCUGGCUGGCCGGUCCGCCUCACCGCGUGCACUGGUCCGGCCGGGUUUUUCCUUCUGGGGAGCCGCAUGCCCUUCACUGGGUGUGUCGGGGAACCAGGACUUUUACUUUGAAAAAAUUAGAGUGUUCAAAGCAGGCCUAUGCUCGAAUACAUUAGCAUGGAAUAAUAGAAUAGGACGUGUGGUUCUAUUUUGUUGGUUUCUAGGACCGCCGUAAUGAUUAAUAGGGAUAGUCGGGGGCAUCAGUAUUCAAUUGUCAGAGGUGAAAUUCUUGGAUUUAUUGAAGACUAACUACUGCGAAAGCAUUUGCCAAGGAUGUUUUCAUUAAUCAGUGAACGAAAGUUAGGGGAUCGAAGACGAUCAGAUACCGUCGUAGUCUUAACCAUAAACUAUGCCGACUAGGGAUCGGGCGAUGUUAUUUUUUUGACUCGCUCGGCA